UGCCGCGUGAGUGAUGAAGGCCUUCGGGUUGUAAAGCUCUUUUACUGGGGAUGAUACUGACGGUCCCAACAGAAUAGGCCCCGGCUAACUCCCUGCCAACAGCCGCGGUAAUACUAAGGGGGCUAGCGUUGUUCGGAAUUACUGGGCGUAAAGCGCGCGUAAGCGGAUCUUUAUAUCAGGGGUGAAAUCCCGUGGCUCAACCCCGGAACUGCCUUUGAUACUGAACCUCUGAAGUGCAUUAGAGGUGAGUGGAAUUCCGAGUGUAGAAGUGAAAUUCAAUUAUAUGUGUAAGAACACCAUGGGCAAAUGCGGCUCAGUGCACCGGUGCUGACGCUGACUUCCUGAACCGUGACUGACAAUCAGGAUUAAAUACCCGGGUAGUCCACGCGAUAAACUAUGAUGGUUAUCCACGCCGUAAUUUAUGACCACUGGGCGUUGCUAACUCAUUAACUUUUCCGCCUGGGGAGUACGGUCAGUUGAUUAACAGUCGAA
This 492-nucleotide ribosomal RNA is filed under the name uncultured Alphaproteobacteria bacterium. RNAcentral describes it as "bacterial SSU rRNA". It matches the Rfam family "Bacterial small subunit ribosomal RNA", at positions 395 to 905 of the family's 1533-position model. The record is from RNAcentral. Lineage: Bacteria; Pseudomonadati; Pseudomonadota; Alphaproteobacteria.